UACAGAGGCCUCGAGCGUUAUGCGGAAUCACUGGGCUUAAAGCGCGUGUAGGCGGACUUCUAAGUACCUUGUGAAAUCCCACGGCUUACCCGUGGAACGGCUGGGUAUACUGGGAGUCUUGAGCCACCUAGGGGCGAGUGGAACAAAUGGUGGAGCGGUGAAAUGCGUAGAUAUCAUUUGGAACGCCAAUGGUGAAAACAACUCGCUGGGGGUGUGCUGACGCUGAGACACGAAAGCCAGGGGAGCGAACGGG
This 253-nucleotide ribosomal RNA is filed under the name uncultured bacterium. RNAcentral describes it as "partial 16S ribosomal RNA". It matches the Rfam family "Bacterial small subunit ribosomal RNA", at positions 524 to 776 of the family's 1533-position model. The record is from RNAcentral.